This 307-nucleotide unclassified non-coding RNA is filed under the name plant metagenome. Its description in RNAcentral is "partial contains 5.8S ribosomal RNA, internal transcribed spacer 2, and large subunit ribosomal RNA". The stretch from base 1 to 105 matches the Rfam family "5.8S ribosomal RNA", at positions 50 to 154 of the family's 154-position model. The record is from RNAcentral.
GAAAUGCGAUAAGUAGUGUGAAUUGCAGAAUUCGGUGAAUCAUCGAAUCUUUGAACGCACAUUGCGCCCCUCGGUAUUCCGUGGGGCAUGCCUGUUCGAGCGUCAUCUACACCCUCAAGCUCUGCUUGGUGUUGGGCGUCUGUCCCGCCUCCGCGCGCGGACUCGCCCCAAAUGCAUUGGCAGCGGUUCCUUGCCCCCCUCUUUGCGCAGCACAUUGCCAUUCGAGGCGGCGGCGGCCCGCGUCCAACAAGCUCAACCCCCCCGUCUUUGACCUCGGAUCAGGUAGGGAUACCCGCUGAACUUAAGC